UACGAAGGGGGCUAGCGUUGCUCGGAAUUACUGGGCGUAAAGGGCGCGUAGGCGGCGCUGCAAGUCAGGCGUGAAAUCCCUCGGCUUAACCGGGGAACUGCAUCUGAUACUGGAUGGCUUGAGUUCGGGAGAGGGAUGCGGAAUUCCAGGUGUAGCGGUGAAAUGCGUAGAUAUCUGGAGGAACACCGGUGGCGAAGGCGGCAUCCUGGACCGACACUGACGCUGAGGAGCGAAAGCCAGGGGAGCAAACGGG
Molecule: ribosomal RNA, 253 nt
Filed under: uncultured bacterium
Lineage: Bacteria
Description: partial 16S ribosomal RNA
Rfam family: Bacterial small subunit ribosomal RNA
Source: RNAcentral